This 609-nucleotide ribosomal RNA is filed under the name uncultured bacterium. RNAcentral's name for it is "bacterial SSU rRNA". It matches the Rfam family "Bacterial small subunit ribosomal RNA", at positions 66 to 719 of the family's 1533-position model. The record is from RNAcentral.
GCGCAGUCCUUCGGGACCGAGCGGCGGACGGGUUAGUAACGCGUGGGAACAUACCCCUUUCUACGGAAUAGCCUCGGGAAACUGAGAGUAAUACCGUAUAAGCCCUUCGGGGGAAAGAUUUAUCGGGAAGGGAUUGGCCCGCGUUAGAUUAGAUAGUUGGUGGGGUAAUGGCCUACCAAGUCUACGAUCUAUAGCUGGUUUUAGAGGAUGAUCAGCAACACUGGGACUGAGACACGGCCCAGACUCCUACGGGAGGCAGCAGUGGGGAAUCUUAGACAAUGGGCGCAAGCCUGAUCUAGCCAUGCCGCGUGUGUGAUGAAGGUCUUAGGAUCGUAAAGCACUUUCGCCAGGGAUGAUAAUGACAGUACCUGGUAAAGAAACCCCGGCUAACUCCGUGCCAGCAGCCGCGGUAAUACGGAGGGGGUUAGCGUUGUUCGGAAUUACUGGGCGUAAAGCGUACGUAGGCGGAUCAGAAAGUUAGGGGUGAAAUCCCGAGGCUCAACCUCGGAACUGCCUCUAAAACUCCUGGUCUUGAGUUCGAGAGAGGUGAGUGGAAUUCCAAGUGUAGAGGUGAAAUUCGUAGAUAUUUAGAGGAACACCAGUGGCGAA